AGCGAACGCUGGCGGUAGGCCUAACACAUGCAAGUCGAACGGCAGCACAGUAAGAGCUUGCUCUUACGAGUGGCGAGUGGCGGACGGGUGAGGAAUAAAUCGGAAUCUACUUUUUCGUGGGGGAUACCGUAGGGAAACUUACGCUAAUACAGCAUACGACCUACGGGUGAAAGCUGGGGAUAUUCGGACCUUGCGCGAUUGAAUGGGCCGAUGUCGGAUUAGCUAGUUGGCGGGGUAAUGGCCCACCAAGGCGACGACCGGUAGCUGGCCUGAGAGGAUGAUCAGCCACACUGGAACUUAGACACGGUCCAGACUCCUGCGGGAGGCAGCAGUGGGGAAUAGUGGACAAUGGUCGCAAGCCUGAUCCAGCCAUACCGCGUGGGUGAAGAAGGCCUUCGGGUUGUAAAGCCCUUUUGUUGGGAAAGAAAAUCAGCAGGUUAAUACCCCGCUGUUCUGACGGUACCCAAAGAAUAAGCACCGGCUAACUUCGUG
Molecule: ribosomal RNA, 492 nt
Filed under: uncultured bacterium
Lineage: Bacteria
Description: partial 16S ribosomal RNA
Rfam family: Bacterial small subunit ribosomal RNA
Source: RNAcentral